This is a long non-coding RNA of Lathyrus oleraceus (garden pea), 659 nucleotides long. RefSeq lists it as uncharacterized. The transcript is spliced from 3 exons. NCBI's taxonomy places the organism in Eukaryota, Viridiplantae, Streptophyta, Magnoliopsida, Fabales, Fabaceae. The record is from RefSeq and is a predicted model, not a curated record.
UAAGGUCCCCUUUAGUAAACAUUAAAAUUAUAACAUAUACUGCAUGUCUCUUUAUUUUCCCUUUCUACAAGCUAUUUCGUUUACGUAACUGGGUUUUCUCUCUACUGCGUCCACCGUCUACUGCGAUUACUCUCGUCCUCCGUUCGUUCUCCCUCCCUCACCGUCGUCGUCGCCGUCGCCUUUUUCUGCUGCUGCGUUCACGUUCACGUCCACCGUCACUGUUCACUUUCUUCUCCAUCGUUACCGUCACCUUGAAGAUAAAAUGGCUAACCAAGACGAUACCCAUGCCGCGAAUGAAUCACGUAAUAAUGUUGAAAAAGAAAUCAAACGAGGAUUGACUGUUAUGAAGUCAAUCAUUCGUGCAAGAGACAAGGGUGUAAAAUUUGAAGUGCAUUGGAGUGCUGAAGACCAACUAAUUGAGCCUAACGGUUCAAUGUUGGCAAGUUACAUUGGUUUCCUUGUUCGACAACAUAUUCCGAUUACAUGUGAUAAUUGGAGAAGUCCGGACUUGAAGGUUGGCAAGGAAAAAAUAUGGUCGGAGAUACAGAGAUCCUUUCACAUCGAUGAAAGCCGGCAAAAAUAUUGUAUUCAAUUGGCCGGAAAAAGACUCCGAGGAUUUCGAUCCUUUUUGUGCAACAAAUUUCUCAAGGAUGAGGAAG